GAUCAUGGCUCAGGAUGAACGCUAGCGACAGGCUAACACAUGCAAGUCGAGGGGCAGCACGGGAGUAGCAAUACUUGGUGGCGACCGGCGCACGGGUGAGUAACGCGUAUGCAACCUACCUAUCAGAGGGGAAUAACCCGGCGAAAGUCGGACUAAUACCGCAUAAAACAGGGGCACCGCAUGGUGAUAUUUGUUAAAGAAAUUCGCUGAUAGAUGGGCAUGCGUUCCAUUAGGUAGUUGGUGAGGUAACGGCUCACCAAGCCGACGAUGGAUAGGGGAACUGAGAGGUUGGUCCCCCACACUGGUACUGAGACACGGACCAGACUCCUACGGGAGGCAGCAGUGAGGAAUAUUGGUCAAUGGGCGGGAGCCUGAACCAGCCAAGUCGCGUGAAGGAAGAAGGAUCUAUGGUUCGUAAACUUCUUUUGCAGGGGAAUAAAGUGCAGGACGUGUCCUGUUUUGUAUGUACCCUGAGAAUAAGGAUCGGCUAACUCCGUGCCAGCAGCCGC
RNAcentral lists this ribosomal RNA (509 nucleotides) under uncultured bacterium. RNAcentral describes it as "bacterial SSU rRNA". It matches the Rfam family "Bacterial small subunit ribosomal RNA", at positions 15 to 518 of the family's 1533-position model. The record is from RNAcentral.